UACGGAAGGUCCGGGCGUUAUCCGGAUUUAUUGGGUUUAAAGGGAGCGCAGGCGGGCCUUUAAGCGUGACGUGAAAUGUAGCCGCUCAACGGCUGAACUGCGUCGCGAACUGGAGGCCUUGAGUGGGUGCGACGUCAGCGGAAUUCGUGGUGUAGCGGUGAAAUGCUUAGAUAUCACGAAGAACCCCGAUUGCGAAGGCAGCUGGCGAGUCCCUUACUGACGCUAAAGCUCGAAGGUGCGGGUAU
This 245-nucleotide ribosomal RNA is filed under the name uncultured Prevotella sp. RNAcentral's name for it is "partial 16S ribosomal RNA". It matches the Rfam family "Bacterial small subunit ribosomal RNA", at positions 524 to 768 of the family's 1533-position model. The record is from RNAcentral. Lineage: Bacteria; Pseudomonadati; Bacteroidota; Bacteroidia; Bacteroidales; Prevotellaceae.